This is a long non-coding RNA of Notothenia coriiceps (black rockcod), 3164 nucleotides long. RefSeq lists it as uncharacterized. The transcript has 2 exons. The record is from RefSeq and is a predicted model, not a curated record. NCBI's taxonomy places the organism in Eukaryota, Metazoa, Chordata, Actinopteri, Perciformes, Nototheniidae.
UAAGUUCUGCAAUAAACAUUGAACCACUCCGGCCCUCGAUUAGUACCGAUCUUUAAAUUUCGGCCCACUGUGUAUUUGAGUUUGACCCCCCUGAUCUAUCUCUAUCGUUUAUUUUCUAUUCUGAAGAGUUUUUUACAUAAGUGCCAUGUUUAGUUUUGAAAAACACUUGCUUAGUAGCAGAUGUUUUUUUGACAUGUAUCCCGAGUCUUUGUCCUCUAACAGUUUGUUAAACAUUGUUUCAGCUGGUGGAUUUUGAAGCCAUGACAACACCCAGUCCAGAAAGCUUCAGUAAAACAGCCAAGAACUGGAUGAACCUCAUGAGUUUACCAGUUUGGUACCAGAGUCUUCCUUCUGUAGCAGAGACGUUCCCGUCCAGCAGAACGAUGAUCGAGGUUCUCAACACAGACUCAUCCUCACACUGUCCCAAGAAGUCCUAACAAAACUUCAGGAGUCUGUUCUGUCUUAAUAACGGAGCUGCUGCACUGAGCAGGACAGAGUCUUCUUCUGCAUCCCAAACUAAACCCCCAAAGCAUCUGAGCUCUAACGGUCAUUCCCUACAUUUUAAAUGCAUAUUGUUUCUUCCACACAUUUGGGAACCUGGUCUAUUGGGCUUGGCUAAAAACGAAGGUAAUACCAAUUGAAAACGUGUAUUUAAAAAAAAUACUUUUCCUCUGAGAAAUCAUUGCUUUUUCUUUGGUUCUGAAAUAUAUCUUAUUUGGUAUACAAUGACUUCCUACUCAGUAAUCCUCUCUUAUUCACACGUUUUAAGGUGUGAACGUGCAUACUUGAGCAUUCAUCCAGCAGGUGCACACAAUGUUUUCAUUACAUUUGAACAUUUAUUUGGCACGCUAGACUAUAAUUACCGUAGUAGCAGCAAAACAACUGCAACAACAGUCCCUGCCACACUUUGUUCAGAUGCUUGUGUCAACAUGUUCACGUGAAACUACACAUUUUCCCUCUCAGCUGUAGUCAAUCUAUAUUGUUUUGUCAAAGCGUUUUAGAGAAUAUUCACUAUAGAGAUGUCUGCCUUAUUUUUUAUAUAAAAGAAACCAACAUGGCAUUCUGUUUGUUGAGCUUAAUGAGUCCAAAGAUGUUUUUUAACUCAAAAGGAAAGACCUUGUUGGAGGAACUGUUUUAUUUCUACAGUACACCACCUGCCAGCAGUAUCAUUGCACCGAAGGAAGGAAAUAACGCUCUCCAUGAGGCUGUUGAGUUUCUCACAUGUUUCUUUUGAGCACCACAAGCAGAGGGCUAUUUAGUUCCAUUAUGUUAUGGACAAGGCAGACAUCUCUAUGAUCAGUAUCUCAAACGUUUCGCAACACACCCGAACUACAACCUAUAUUUGCGUAAUGGAACAGGUAAGAGGACAAAUAUUUUGUUUCCGCUUGACUUGUCCCCUUUCAUUGGACAGUAUGUCAAGUUUACACAGUUUCAAAUUGAUUUGGAUUUAGUUCAGGUACGAAAACAUAAUGAAAUCUUUUGGUGCUACCUUGUUUCAGUCCCAAUAUUCACACACUCCAGCUGUUUGGGUGAAGGUGACGGAGAAAGUGUCUUAGUUUGGGAUGCAGAACGGAUUCUGUCCACCCGCAUCUGUUUCUCUGCCUUAUAGGCCUUCACACUGAAACACACAACACACACAGUCCUCCAUCUCAGCAGGAACAAGUCAAGGUUAUUAAAUUAAUACAUCUAAGCGUUUUUGGAUUUAAACUUAAAAUUGGAUGUUAAUUUGUGCACAUUUCCUUAACCACUAAGGUACACGCACAAACACACACACACACACACACACACACACUCUCACUCUCUCUCUCUCUCUCUCACACACACACACUCCAGCACUCCAGCCUAUCAGCAGAGAAAGAGUUUCGGGAUCUACGGAAAGUGAAAUGAUGAAUGAAAAACCUUCAGGGCUAUUGAAUUCCACUCUGGAUACUUGAAGCAGUCUCUCUUUUUUAUUUAGUUUUUUCUCGACACUCGCAGGAAGUAUGUCUUUUCGGGGCAUUGAACCCCGCUUUCUUUUAGCGUGACCAAUAAAAGGGUCGAUGGUGAGAGGGGUUGGCUGCUGAACGACUAUGAGAGCGAGAGUCAGAGGAUUUCAGAGAAUUUUCAGAGAGGCAUAAAGUCCUCAAUGAUUUGUCGAAGGAAAACCGCUUCAAAAAUAUGGUUUUUCUGAGUUUUCUGUCAUGAUAACGUGAAUUAUUUGAGUUUAAGGAAAAAAUAAACUUGAAUUUGAACAAUGUGAAAUGCAGAGUAUCGAUUUCUUUAUAUUUUAAAUCUUUUUGUUAAAUUUCAAUACUACAUUUAGGAUUCGACACAGCAGAGAAAUGGAAGAAUUGUAUUCAUGCGAAAAUAAAGAAUUCAAAAUUGUUAUAAAUAUUUUUUGCGAAAGAAGACGUCUAUACAGUUGUGUCCAUUUAUUUGAAAGAUUUAUAAAAUGGUGUUAAUGUACAUUUACAAAUAUACCACAGAUAAUAUUAAAUAUUUUUAAGAUUGGAAUAUCAUCAUAAAUAAAAUUAAAUCUCAAAAAUGAAAAAGGAUUUUCAAAACACAAGAAAAUUCAACAGAAAUUGAUCAAAUAAAUGUGUUUAUACUUAAUACAAUUAAAUAUAAUAAGACAAGCAGCAAAUCAAUAAAAAGCAAAAGAUACACCAACCAAAACAGCCACCAUUGGUUUUUGGGAUAUAAUACUUGAUAAUAAUCGAUUGUUUUGAGUUUUAGCGUAAUGUCUUUAAGCGAUGUGCUGUGGUGGAAAGACUUUAAAAAGAAGCAUAAUAAGCUGCGUUCAGUUAUAUGUCUCAUACCAAAAAUACAUAUGAGUAAGGGUAUCAUAUAGUAGUCUGAUUUGAAAAGCACUAAAGCAGUAAAUGUCCCUUUUUUUUAAAGUGAAAUAAGUACAAAAAAAACAAAUCAGAGCAACAUGAAUAGACUCCUGAAUAUUCUCUGACUCCUCUGACUGCUGGGUCUCGUAAAGGAUUAAUUAAAGAUGGCGGUAAACACACUGUCAUCGUCUUUGCUAUCAUUCCCUUCUUGAACUGGAUGCCAUCUGUGUCUCUCUCAUCUCCGGAUUUUCUUUUGCCCUCAUGGAUUAAAUGUGCCGUCACAAGCUGUUCUGUAAGAGCAUUACUUUGGGAGAAAAGAGCUCCAAAAGUCUUAAAAACACUGUCUGU